UACGGGGGGGGCAAGCGUUGUUCGGAAUUACUGGGCGUAAAGCGCGCGCAGGCGGUCUUCCAAGUCAGUGGUGAAAGCCCGGAGCUCAACUCCGGAACUGCCAUUGAAACUGUUAGACUUGAGGACGAGAGAGGUGAGUGGAAUUCCCAGUGUAGAGGUGAAAUUCGUAGAUAUUGGGAAGAACACCGGUGGCGAAGGCGGCUCACUGGCUCGUAUCUGACGCUCAGGCGCGACAGCGUGGGGAUCAAACAGG
This 253-nucleotide ribosomal RNA is filed under the name uncultured bacterium. Its description in RNAcentral is "partial 16S ribosomal RNA". It matches the Rfam family "Bacterial small subunit ribosomal RNA", at positions 524 to 776 of the family's 1533-position model. The record is from RNAcentral.